RNAcentral lists this transfer RNA (91 nucleotides) under Brevundimonas vancanneytii. Its description in RNAcentral is "tRNA-Ser(cga)". It matches the Rfam family "tRNA". From Rfam's summary of the family: Transfer RNA (tRNA) molecules are approximately 80 nucleotides in length. Their secondary structure includes four short double-helical elements and three loops (D, anti-codon, and T loops). Lineage: Bacteria; Pseudomonadati; Pseudomonadota; Alphaproteobacteria; Caulobacterales; Caulobacteraceae. The record is from RNAcentral.
GGAGAGGUGGCAGAGUGGUUGAAAUGUACCGCACUCGAAAUGCGGCGUACGUGGAAGCGUACCGGGGGUUCGAAUCCCCCCCUCUCCGCCA